Transfer RNA from Ipomoea nil (Japanese morning glory), 94 nucleotides. It matches the Rfam family "tRNA". From Rfam's summary of the family: Transfer RNA (tRNA) molecules are approximately 80 nucleotides in length. Their secondary structure includes four short double-helical elements and three loops (D, anti-codon, and T loops). The record is from Rfam. NCBI's taxonomy places the organism in Eukaryota, Viridiplantae, Streptophyta, Magnoliopsida, Solanales, Convolvulaceae.
CUGACCUUAGCUCAGUUGGUAGAGUGGUGGACUGUGGUUGGACUAAUCUAAAUUGGAAAUCCUUAGGUCGCUAGUUUGAUUCCGGCAGGUUGGA